GGUCGUGUGGCUUAGUGGUUAUGGCAUCUGCUUUACAAGUUCUUCGAAAGAAGAAGUCAAAAUCGCAGAGGAUCGCAGGUUCGAUCCCUGCCACGAUCA
Molecule: transfer RNA, 99 nt
Rfam family: tRNA
About the family: Transfer RNA (tRNA) molecules are approximately 80 nucleotides in length.